This is a long non-coding RNA of Mytilus californianus (California mussel), 540 nucleotides long. RefSeq lists it as uncharacterized. The record is from RefSeq and is a predicted model, not a curated record. The transcript is spliced from 6 exons. NCBI's taxonomy places the organism in Eukaryota, Metazoa, Mollusca, Bivalvia, Mytilida, Mytilidae.
AGUACGGACAGAGACAUAUACUACAAAUUGUAUUAUAUGUAUCAGGUAUGGAUAUAUAACUAUUCCAAUUGUUUGGUGAUUUCUACACUAGAAUAGCUAGCUGCAAGGAGGAAAGCAGGUAUAAUUUAAGUCAAUUAGUUGCAAUGGGUUUCCAAGUUCUUUUGUUUGUGCUGUUAACAGCCGGUGUUGUUCAUUCCUAUUAUCAAGCCAAGCCUACACGAUGCUUAUUUCCGUGUGAAUUUAGAGAAAACAUACCAAUCCUGGAAGAGCGGAGUAAUAUAUGGAUUCUCAACACUCCAUCCCUUGGUACAUAUACCAACUUAUCACGGCCAAUAGGAGAACAGACAUCAGUAUCUGAAUGUAUCAUGAGACAGGGGCCUUUCUUUAUAAUCAGAGAAUUUGGACUAUAUUUUUGUUUCAAGUUUAUGGCCCUAACUGAUACCGACUGGUUCGAAUACUUCAGUGCAGGAAGCGAGACUCUGCUACCUUUUUGUGAGUUGUGUGAUGGUUCAAAAUUUUCAGGACCACUUUAUUUUUCAG